Cyprinus carpio (common carp) is the source of this 1569-nucleotide long non-coding RNA. The record is from Ensembl. Lineage: Eukaryota; Metazoa; Chordata; Actinopteri; Cypriniformes; Cyprinidae.
AACUGAUCAGACAUAAUUUCAUUUUGUAAUUUUAUGUACUUUAUUUUAUUUUAUGAGUUUUUUUUCCAGUUCAAUUUUAAUUUAUUUUUGAUUUCAGUUUAGUUAAAAAAAUUGCCAAUGCAAUAUUUCUCAUUUUUGUUUACAGUUUUAUAUCUAAUAUUUACAUUUAUUUCAGCUUUAUUUCAAAUACGUAAAAUAUAUAUAUUUUUUUUUUAAUUUAGUUAGCUGAUGCAAACUUGUUUAUGGAUGGCUUGCUAAGUGCUCUCUGCAUAUUAAACUUAGGAGAAAUAAUUGUAACAUUGGGGGAAAACAUUACAGCACUUUAAUCAUAUCAUUGCCCUGUAUAAACUGCCCUGCAACAUAUAAGAUGGAUAAUAUUGGCUUUCCAGAUAAAGAUGCUAAUCUACUGAUUUGGGCCAGAAAAUUCAACAGUGUGAAAGAUUCAGAAGUUCUAACUGAUCUAACAAAUCACUAACAGUUCAGAUGCUGUCCUCAAUUCCCCGCUUGUUUAUCAGAAGUUACAUUGUUCUCUCCCAGAGCUACAAAAAACUAUGCUAAUAGUUCUCCUUACAAACUGGGUCACCUUCAUCCGUCAGUAAGCGUACCUCUCAGUCACCACUUACAGAGAUCAGUACCUCUCUACACUGAGAGUGCAGGGCGGGACUGUCAGCGACAUCUGACAGAUGCAGCGUUUCGUCGCGCAGCUGCGACACGUCGCGUGGUUCUCUCCAUGUGAUCAAAGCCACGUGAUGAGUUCUGGUGUCAGGCCACAGCGUCCCGUGGUCUCUACAGUGAGACAAGAGGAGCACAGAGAGUUUUUUGUGCCUGUCAGGCUGCAGCCCGGCUGAUACUUCGGAUUGAUUCGCCGUAUGAUGCGUUUGGCACUAUUGAUGUUUUAUUAAGCUUGUCGGGGAAUUUCUAGGAAGCCCUGUUUGAGUGUGUGUGGAGAUGCUGAGGAAUGUUGGCUCCCAUUAGUGACAAAGACCAUCAUGAGACUGUCACAUCAGAUCAUCAGCUAAAACAGCUAAAACAUGUCCCACGUCGCUAUAGGAGGCAGCGACGGUGUCUGGAUAAUGUGGAAGGCAGUCAUUUUUGUCUGCAGGCAUGCCGAAAUGCCUUGGAGGUGGCACUGAGGACCCUUAGAGCUCAGGAAGAUGAGAAGGAGGCCAAGCAGUCACGGUUAAAGGCCAUCCACAGUCACUCUUCUAAUCAGCAAGCACUUCUUAAUCAGCUAUGAGGUCGUCUGGAGGUGGACAAGUGAGUACCCAAUUCUUAUACACAGACGUCGGUCACGUAUGCCUUUUACAUCAAUGUACGUAAAGCACUUCACUCUUUCCUUCAGUUUCAGGUAACAAGCUAUUAUUCAGUCUGACACCACCCUCUCUUAAAGGGAUAGUUCACCCCAAAGUUAAAAGACUGUUGUCUUUUACUCUGAGUCAUGUCAUUUAAAUUCUGUAUGAUUUAUGUGGUAAGUACUGUAUCAGUAGCUUCAUUCCUGGACGAGAAUUGUUGCAUAAUAUGUUUUAUAUCUUGAAUAAACAUGGAUUGCACAUAUCUGGUGAAUUUUAG